Molecule: ribosomal RNA, 253 nt
Filed under: uncultured bacterium
Lineage: Bacteria
Description: partial 16S ribosomal RNA
Rfam family: Bacterial small subunit ribosomal RNA
Source: RNAcentral
UACGUAGGGUGCGAGCGUUGUCCGGAAUUAUUGGGCGUAAAGAGCUUGUAGGCGGUUUGUCGCGUCUGCUGUGAAAAUCCGGGGCUCAACCCCGGACUUGCAGUGGGUACGGGCAGACUAGAGUGUGGUAGGGGAGACUGGAAUUCCUAGUGUAGCGGUGGAAUGCGCAGAUAUCAGGAGGAACACCGGUGGCGAAGGCGGGUCUCUGGGCCGAUACUGACGCUGAGAAGCGAAAGCGUGGGGAGCGAACAGG